This is a long non-coding RNA of Vidua macroura (Pin-tailed whydah), 180 nucleotides long. RefSeq lists it as uncharacterized. The transcript has 3 exons. NCBI's taxonomy places the organism in Eukaryota, Metazoa, Chordata, Aves, Passeriformes, Viduidae. The record is from RefSeq and is a predicted model, not a curated record.
GCUGAACUUACAACAAAGCUUGUGAACCCAGUUCAGCCCAUUGGAGGUUCAGAGCAGCAGAGUCUAGGGAGCGCUGAGCUCUGCUUUCCAGACUUGAUUGUCUUCAAAUUUGUGCAUCACAACAGGUCCUUGAGAUGUACCAGUGGAUGGAGAAGUUGAUGCAGUAAGAAUUUGAAAGGU